Molecule: ribosomal RNA, 400 nt
Filed under: uncultured bacterium
Lineage: Bacteria
Description: bacterial SSU rRNA
Rfam family: Bacterial small subunit ribosomal RNA
Source: RNAcentral
UGGGGAAUAUUGCGCAAUGGCCGAAAGGCUGACGCAGCGACGCCGCGUGGGGGAUGAAGCAUUUCGGUGUGUAAACCCCUGUUGCCCGGGACGAACCGGCGGAUUUUUCCGCUCUGACGGUACCGGGUGAGGAAGCACCGGCUAACUCCGUGCCAGCAGCCGCGGUAAUACGGAGGGUGCGAGCGUUGUCCGGAAUCACUGGGCGUAAAGGGCGCGUAGGCGGUUGGCUAAGCGUGCGGUGAAAGCCCGGGGCUCAACCCCGGGUCUGCCGUGCGAACUGGCCGACUCGAGCACUGUAGAGGCAGGCGGAAUUCCGGGUGUAGCGGUGGAAUGCGUAGAGAUCCGGAAGAACACCGGUGGCGAAGGCGGCCUGCUGGGCAGUAGCUGACGCUGAGGCGCG